UUGGGCUUUGGACGCUCUAGUCUUGCCUCCCAAAGCCUAGUACUGGGAGGUCCAAAUUUAUUCAAUUUAGAACCAGUCGGUCGUUUUGUGAACAAUUCCGUCCAAAAGGAAUUUUGAUGAUGACAAAAAUGACCCUUAUGCAAAAAACUGCAAUACAAAUUUGUUUCAAAAUCAAUUCUUCGUUGUCUUUUAAUCGGCACAGCUCUAUAGCAAAAUUUAGGUUUUAGUUUCAGCUCGAUUAUCCUUACAAAUUUCUUUGCUCUCUCCCUAUAUGUUGUUCUCUUGGUCUAAUUUUUCGCUGAAACCCUAAAAAUUAAGAGAGAUGGCGAAUAUCGAUGGAGAAGUUUAUGUAUAUAUCAGAUUCGGAGGAGGAGAUUCAAAACUUCGGAUUCGGAGGAGGAGAUUCGAAACUUAUAUAUGUGAGAGUCAAUGUUCUCUGAAAGCCUAACUAAUAUCAUUUCUCCUGAAAAUCCUCUUUCGGUUCACAGUUAAUGUUUCGAUCAAUUAUUUUGCUCAUGAUUCUUAUCAUUCCAAACAUGUACAAUCACUAGGAUUCAAGUUUAUUUGUUUGUGUUGGGAGAAACGAUGAGUUUUGUAGGAGCGAUCUUGAAGUUUGAAUUUAUCAAUUUUACACUGCACUAUAUUGCUGAUUUGAUAUCCCAAUCAAAAGGGGAACAUCUGUGAUUUCAGAAAUGGAAUGAUUAAUGUAUCACCAAUUGGACGAAACUGUAGUAAAAAAUAACGAGAUGACUUCGAGAAGUAUUACAAGAUUCACAAUGUUGGACCAAAAAUGGGUUAUGUGCUUUGGGAGAAGUUUGCUCAUCUUAACCUGACAUUUUCCAUCGGAAGACAAAUAAAUUUUGAUGCAUUUCCUCAAUGUUGGGCCAAGACCUACUGUUUGAGAUAUCUAGAGGAGUUUUAAGAAAUUCACUUCUUUGGAGAUAAAACUUACAAGGGAGGAAACAAUCACGAGAUUUACGAGUUAGAGCGAACAGUGGGUCACACAGGCAAUCUCCUGUCUAAAAAUAUAUUGUGUAAGGAUCCUAAUAAAAGCUUUACUAGUCCGAACUUAACCUCUCGUUCAAAAGAUUAUCUAUAAAACAUUCAUUUUUUUUAUUGAAUUUGUAGGAAAUGUUGGUUCCGUAGACUUGUUCUGGUAUUGAAACUAUAAAUGUCGGAUUUUAGGCUUAUCCGAUAGGAUAAAGCCUAUUUCUCGAUCUAUUUCAAUUAUUUUCUUGAACACUUACAUUUUUUUUUGGUCCCCUGUACCCUGCUCUUCUCUUGGAGUUGCAUUCAACAUCGGAUGACUUUACUAAUUAUUAGAGAUGCAUCAGCGAUACUUCUAUAGAAUAUUGAUGUUUUUCGAUAAUGUGCACAUAGGUGUACACCUGUUAUUGUUAACGUGUACAUAAAUGUACACCUGCUAUUGUUAGCGUGUACAUAAAUCUACACCUGUUGAUUUUAAUGUGUAUAUUGUUGAACCGCAUGCUCAAUUUUGGAACUUCCAGGUUUGAAAGAUAUUACUCUUCUCUUUCUUGGCCUUAGGGCAGGGUAACUUGGAUAAAGGUUCUCUUUCAUGAUUUUUGUAGACGUGUACAUGGUGGUGUACCACCAUGUGUACAUAUUUGUACACCUAUGAUAUAAGUGUACAUUGUUUUACACAUGUGAGAAAAAUUACAUGUGUACAUAGUAUCCCAUUUUAGGACUCUUAAUCAAGUUUUAGUCAACAAUCUUUUUUCGUUUUUUGGAUGUCGAAUUAGUGAUGUUGUGAUUCACUGAAUGUUGGUUACAACAGAAAUGUUAGGGAUGUCUGAUUGCUCCAAUACUGUCAAUUGUAUCAAUACUUGUCCAUCAAGUAUCAAUUCAAGCAUCUUUCCACUAUAACAACGUUGAGAUUGAAUUAGAUCAAAUUCACGUAAUAUAAACACAGGCCUAAUGUAUCAAUCCAACCAAAUAAUCAUAUAUAUUGUAGCUUUAUAUAUGUUGCUUCUAUUUGACCACAAGAACUUCCAUCAACGGAUGCAACCCAAAUUGGAAACAACCUCUAGCAUCUCGGUCAGAUAUACAACAGAAAAAAUCAUUCAACAAAAGUAUUGGUGUAUAUGCUUGUACACCUUGCUCUUGCUCUUAGAGAUUCAAUGGAGGAAGAGAGGGAAAGAAAGGAUGAUGUUGGAAGGGAUGCAGAAGAAAAAGGAGGUGGACAGGCUUCAAGUUCACAUGAUACAACUAUGACUGAAAACGUUGGCAUUAUGUCCGAUGGAGCUAGUACAAGUGAUUUGAUGGCAAGUAUCAUGCUUGUUACUGGUUGCCCUUGGGUUGAAUAUGUGGUUAGAAACAUGAUGCAGUUUAUGAUUGUACAUGAAUUCAAAGAUAUUGUUUUUUUGCAGUGAAGGAAAGAUGUGUUUGGUUUGGUUAAAGUUUAUGCCUGCUCGAGUCUGAAAGAUGAUUUAGAGUCUACAGUGACUAAGCUGAUAACGAAAUGCAGAAGCGCGAUGUAUUGUUGCUGGUGUUGCUGCAGAGAAGUGUAGCUAAGAUUGGAAAGCUAGAGAAACAGACAAAAAAUUUGAGUUGAAUGGUUGAGGUGUUGUAGUUGUUUGCAACAAGUUGUAUUGGUAAUGAGUUUGAGUUGUAAACAAGUUAUAUUUUUGUAGAUGUGUAAAUGUUUGUACACCAAUGUAAACUAAGUUUUUUUAAAAAUGAGAAUUAUA
Molecule: long non-coding RNA, 2708 nt
Organism: Papaver somniferum (opium poppy)
Lineage: Eukaryota; Viridiplantae; Streptophyta; Magnoliopsida; Ranunculales; Papaveraceae
Exons: 7
Source: RefSeq, a predicted model, not a curated record